Molecule: ribosomal RNA, 468 nt
Filed under: uncultured bacterium
Lineage: Bacteria
Description: partial 16S ribosomal RNA
Rfam family: Bacterial small subunit ribosomal RNA
Source: RNAcentral
GACGAACGCUGGCGGCGUGCUUAACACAUGCAAGUCGAACGGAAAGGCCCUGCUUUUGUGGGGUUCUCGAGUGGCGAACGGGUGAGUAACACGUGAGUAACCUGCCCUUGACUUUGGGAUAACUUCAGGAAACUGGGGCUAAUACCGGAUAGGAGCUCCUGCUGCAUGGUGGGGGUUAGAAAGUUUCGGCGGUUGGGGAUGGACUCGCGGCUUAUCCGCUUGUUGGUGGGGUAGUGGCUUACCAAGGCUUUGACGGGUAGCCGGCCUGGGAGGGUGACCGGCCACAUUGGGACUGCGAGAGGGCCCAGACUCCUACGGGAGGCAGCAGUGGGGAAUAUUGCACAAUGGGCGGAAGCCUGAUGCAGCAACGCCGCGUGCGGGAUGACGGCCUUCGGGUUGUAAACCGCUUUCGCCUGUGACGAAGCGUGAGUGACGGUAAUGGGUAAAGAAGCACCGGCUAACUACGUG